Molecule: non-coding RNA, 497 nt
Organism: Theobroma umbraticum
Lineage: Eukaryota; Viridiplantae; Streptophyta; Magnoliopsida; Malvales; Malvaceae
Source: RefSeq, a predicted model, not a curated record
AUAUUCUUCAUUGCCAAUUACUGUUUUCUUUCUCAAUUCUCUAGGAUUUAACAAAAUGUUUCUCCCUAAGACCACCGAGCUCAUUCUAAUGCUGCUUCUUGUUGCAGUUCUUCUGCUUGUUUCCUCAGAGGUGGCUACUGCUUUGCUGGAUAAUGCAGCAUAUCAACUUAAACUUGGACGAAGGGCUCUUCUAUCUACCUACAAUACAACUGGCAGAGGAGGGUACAACUAAGUGCUAGUUAUCUUAUGGAUGCAUUAAAUUAAAUAAGUAAAUAAGAUAGAUGAAUAAAAGGAAUAUCUAGCAUGUAUGUAGGCUACGGGUUGGAACUAUACUAUUCUCCCUCUUGUAAAUGCUUGCAAUCAGAGCCAUGGGCGGCGGAUGCAUGUGCUUGCGUUUCAGGUCUACGUAAAUGCCAUGCUAGAGAUAGAAAGAUAUGGUAUCGAGAAUAUGCUCUUAUUGUAUGAUCAAUAUGCUAAAUAAAGGUAUUCAUUCUUGA